UGGCGCACGAUGUAGGGCACCUUGGACCUC
Molecule: non-coding RNA, 30 nt
Filed under: Homo sapiens (human)
Lineage: Eukaryota; Metazoa; Chordata; Mammalia; Primates; Hominidae
Source: RNAcentral